AAGGAGUCUAACAUAUCUGCGAGUAUUUGGGUGUCAAACCCGAGUGCGCAAUGAAAGUGAACGUAGGAGCGAUCCGCAAGGUGCACCUUCGACCGAUCUGGAUCUUUUGUGAUGGAUUUGAGUAAGAGCAUAUAUGCUGGGACCCGAAAGAUGGUGAACUAUGCCUGAAUAGGGCGAAGCCAGAGGAAACUCUGGUGGAGGCUCGUAGCGAUUCUGACGUGCAAAUCGAUCGUCAAAUUUGGGUAUAGGGGCGAAAGACUAAUCGAACCAUCUAGUAGCUGGUUCCUGC
This 289-nucleotide unclassified non-coding RNA is filed under the name uncultured fungus. Its description in RNAcentral is "partial contains 5.8S rRNA, ITS2 and 28S rRNA". It matches the Rfam family "Eukaryotic large subunit ribosomal RNA", at positions 668 to 961 of the family's 3401-position model. Lineage: Eukaryota; Fungi. The record is from RNAcentral.